GACGAACGCUGGCGGCGUGCUUAACACAUGCAAGUCGAACGCUGAAGCCCUUUCGGGGGUGGAUGAGUGGCGAACGGGUGAGUAACACGUGGGUAAUCUGCCCUGUACUUCGGGAUAAGCCUUGGAAACGGGGUCUAAUACCGGAUCGGACAUGUCACCGCAUGGUGGUGUGUGGAAGGUUCCGGCGGUAUGGGAUGAGCCCGCGGCCUAUCAGCUUGAUGGUGGGGUGAUGGCCUACCAUGGCGACGACGGGUAGCCGGCCUGAGAGGGUGACCGGCCACACUGGGACUGAGACACGGCCCAGACUCCUACGGGAGGCAGCAGUGGGGAAUCUUGCGCAAUGGGCGAAAGCCUGACGCAGCAACGCCGCGUGAGGGAGGACGGCCUUCGGGUUGUAAACCUCUUUCGACACCGACGAAGGCCCUUGUGGGUUUGACGGUAGGUGUGGAAGAAGCACCGGCUAACUACGUGCCAGCCGCCGCCGUAA
Molecule: ribosomal RNA, 487 nt
Filed under: uncultured bacterium
Lineage: Bacteria
Description: partial 16S ribosomal RNA
Rfam family: Bacterial small subunit ribosomal RNA
Source: RNAcentral